This 253-nucleotide ribosomal RNA is filed under the name uncultured bacterium. RNAcentral describes it as "partial 16S ribosomal RNA". It matches the Rfam family "Bacterial small subunit ribosomal RNA", at positions 524 to 776 of the family's 1533-position model. The record is from RNAcentral.
UACGUAGGAGGCGAGCGUUGUCCGGAAUUACUGGGCGUAAAGGGCGCGCAGGCGGCGCGAGAAGUCAGGCGUGAAAGCCCCGGGCUCAACCUGGGAAUUGCGCUUGAUACUCUUGUGCUGGAGUUCGGGAGAGGAGAGUGGAAUUCCCAGUGUAGAGGUGAAAUUCGUAGAUAUUGGGAAGAACACCGGUGGCGAAGGCGGCUCUCUGGACCGAGACUGACGCUGAGGCGCGAAAGCGUGGGGAGCAAACAGG